UGGGGAAUCUUGCACAAUGGGGGCAACCCUGAUGCAGCGACGCCGCGUGAGCGAUGAAGCCCUUCGGGGUGUAAAGCUCUUUCGGCAGGGACGAUAAUGACGGUACCUGCAGAAGCAGCUGCGGCUAACUACGUGCCAGCAGCCGCGGUAAUACGUAGGCAGCGAGCGUUGUUCGGAGUUACUGGGCGUAAAGGGUGCGUAGGCGGCCGAUUAAGUUUGUCGUGAAAUCUCCCGGCUUAACUGGGAGGGUGCGGCGAAUACUGACCGGCUCGAGUGUGGGAGAGGAGAGUGGAAUUCCUGGUGUAGCGGUGAAAUGCGUAGAUAUCAGGAGGAACACCGGCGGUGUAGACGGCUCUCUGGACCAUAACUGACGCUGAGGCACGAAAGCGUGGGUAGCAAACAGG
This 404-nucleotide ribosomal RNA is filed under the name uncultured bacterium. Its description in RNAcentral is "bacterial SSU rRNA". It matches the Rfam family "Bacterial small subunit ribosomal RNA", at positions 355 to 776 of the family's 1533-position model. The record is from RNAcentral.